ACUCAAAUGAAUUGACGGGGGCUCACACAAGCGGUGGAGCAUGUGGCUCAAUUCGAAGCAACGCGAAGAACCUUAUCCUGGACUUGACAUGGUAGAAGUAGGACCCAGAAAUGGUUACGACCGGUAUCCAAUCCGGAACUAUCACAGGUGCUGCAUGGCUGUCGUCAGCUCGUGCUGUGAAGUGUCGGGUUAAGUCCCAUAACGAGCGAAACCCUUAUCGUUAGUUGCCAGCGGGUCAAGCCGGGCACUCUAACGAGACUGCCGGUGUUAAACCGGAGGAAGGCGGGGAUGACGUCAAGUCCUCAUGGCCUUUAUGUCCAGGGCUGCACACGUGCUACAAUGCCGAUGACAAACCGAAGCAAGACCGUAAGGUGGAGCAAAUCGGAGAAAAAUCGGCCCAGUUCAGAUUGAGGGCUGCAACUCGCCCUCAUGAAGUUGGAAUCGCUAGUAAUCGCGGAUCAGCUACGCCGCGGUGAAUGUGUUCCUGAGCCUUGUACACACCGCCCGU
RNAcentral lists this ribosomal RNA (508 nucleotides) under uncultured bacterium. RNAcentral describes it as "partial 16S ribosomal RNA". It matches the Rfam family "Bacterial small subunit ribosomal RNA", at positions 899 to 1397 of the family's 1533-position model. The record is from RNAcentral.